RNAcentral lists this small RNA (2362 nucleotides) under Pongo abelii (Sumatran orangutan). RNAcentral describes it as "retained intron". The record is from RNAcentral. Lineage: Eukaryota; Metazoa; Chordata; Mammalia; Primates; Hominidae.
AGUGCAUCGGGCGGUGCGGGAGAGGAGAGGAGGGGGUCCGGGAACCUCGGCCAGCCCCGGCCUCCGGCGGCUCCUGCCCUCGCGGUUUUUCCGACUGCGAAAUGGGCGCGGUCCCCAGAACCUGCCGAGAGCAGCGAGUGUGCGCCUGCGGGGCUUGGCAAACUGCCUCAGUUUCCCGGUCCCCAAGGGAGCACUGAGCCCUCCUCCGCCUUCACACCAGGCCGGCGCGAGUCCCUGGCGCCCCCUUCCCUAAACCCCCCGCGGCUCCCUCAGGACAACCCCACCCACCACAUUCAGGGCCGGCCUGACCUGGUCCUGCCGCCCCCAGCCCCUUAUUACGUCUCAUACUGGGUUGCGCUCUGUCGCAGCUCUUCCCGGCCCAGGUAGGACUCCUCCGGGAAGCCUUCCUGAUUCCAAGGCCGAGGAAGAGGUCUGCGCUGCCCCAUCCUCCUCCAUGCCCCGGGUGUCACUGUCCUUAACAACGCUGUCCUCUGCUCCAGCGCCAGGCAAACUGGGGGCAGUGCCGGGAGGCGAUCUAGGCGGGCGUCCUGUAGGGCAGGUUUAAGCGGGCUCUGCAGGUAACAGUACAAGUCCGUUGGAGAGCACCCGGGCAGGGCGCCCACAAUCUGGCCGGGAGGGACCAGGGCCUGGGUCUGGGCCCCCGGGGAUGCGGUUCCUAUGCGUUCCGGGUGAUCCGCGCGGACCUUCCGCACCUCUCUGGGUGGGUGGCCUUCCCUGAGAGGGAGCAUCCCGGCGAGAACGGCGGGCACUCAGUCGCCUCCUCUCCAGCACUGACCCAGGCGGCCUCCAAACUCUGGGUCCCCAACACGGACUUCGACGUCGCAGCCAACUGGAGCCAGAACCGCACCCCGUGCGCCGGCGGCGCCGUUGAGUUCCCGGCGGACAAGAUGGUGUCAGUCCUGGUGCGAGAAGGUCACGCCGUCUCAGACAUGCUCCUGCCGCUGGAUGGGGAACUCGUCCUGGCUUCAGGAGCCGGAUUCGGCGUCUCAGACGUGGGCUCGCACCUGGAUUGUGGCAGGGGCGAACCUGCGGUCUUCCGCGACUCUGACCGCUUCUCCUGGCAUGACCCGCACCUGUGGCGCUCUGGGGACGAGGCACCUGGCCUCUUCUUCGUGGACGCCGAGCGCGUGCCCUGCCGCCACGACGACGUCUUCUUUCCGCCUAGUGCCUCCUUCCGCGUGGGGCUCGGCCCUGGCGCUAGCCCCGUGCGUGUCCGCAGCAUCUCGGCUCUGGGCCGGACGUUCACGCGCGACGAGGACCUGGCUGCUUUCCUGGCGUCCCGCGCGGGCCGCCUACGCUUCCACGGGCCGGGCGCGCUGAGCGUGGGCCCCGAGGACUGCGCGGACCCGUCGGGCUGCGUCUGCGGCAACGCGGAGGCGCAGCCGUGGAUCUGCGCGGCCCUGCUCCAGCCCCUGGGCGGCCGCUGCCCCCAGGCCGCCUGCCACAGCGCCCUCCGGCCCCAGGGGCAGUGCUGUGACCUCUGUGGAGCCGUUGUGUUGCUGACCCACGGCCCCGCAUUUGACCUGGAGAGGUACCGGGCGCGGAUACUGGACACCUUCCUGGGCCUGCCUCAGUACCAGGGGCUGCAGGUGGCCGUGUCCAAGGUGCCACGCUCGUCCCGGCUCCGCGAGGCCGAUACGGAGAUCCAGGUGGUGCUGGUGGAGACCGGGCCCGAGACGGGCGGCGCGGGGCGGCUGGCCCGGGCCCUCCUGGCGGACGUCGCCGAGAACGGCGAGGCCCUCGGCGUCCUGGAAGCGACCAUGCGGGAGUCGGGCGCACACGUCUGGGGCAGCUCCGCGGCUGGGCUGGCGGGCGGCGUGGCGGCUGCGCUGCUGCUGGCGCUGCUGGUCCUGCUGGUGGCGCCGCCGCUGCUGCGCCGCGCGGGGAGGCUCAGGUACGCGGGGCGGGGGGCGGAGGUGGGGCUGGGGGUUGCUCCGAGGGGCUCACGCUGCGUCCCCGCUACGUCCUCAGGUGGAGGCGGCACGAGGAGGCGGCCCCGGCUGGAGCGCCCCUUGGCUUCCACAACCCGGUGUUCGACGUGAAGGCCUCCGAGGAGCUGCCCCUGCCGCGGCCGCUCAGCCUGGUUCCGAAGGCGGCCGUAGACAGCACCAGCCACAGUUACUUCGUCAACCCUCUGUUCGCCGGGGCCGAGGCCGAGGCCUGAGCGGCUUCCUGACCGUCGACCUUGGGCUCUCCACCCCCUCUGGCCCCAGAACCUCCCUGACCCCAGUCGACCUGGGGGCUAGCCACCUCCUCGUCCAGCCCCCAAACCUCCCCUUCCUUCCCUCCUCCUCCGGGGGCCAAGGACAGGGUGGCCUUACUCAAUAAAGGUGUUUCCUGC